RNAcentral lists this ribosomal RNA (474 nucleotides) under uncultured prokaryote. RNAcentral's name for it is "bacterial SSU rRNA". It matches the Rfam family "Bacterial small subunit ribosomal RNA", at positions 440 to 905 of the family's 1533-position model. The record is from RNAcentral.
CCGCGACGAAAAGGCAGAGUGCGAAAAACAAACUGCAUUGACGGUACCGGAAAAGCAAGCCACGGCUAACUACGUGCCAGCAGCCGCGGUAAUACGUAGGUGGCAAGCGUUGUCCGGAAUUAUUGGGCGUAAAGCGCGCGCAGGCGGCUUCCCAAGUCCCUCUUAAAAGUGCGGGGCUUAACCCCGUGAUGGGAAGGAAACUGGGAAGCUGGAGUAUCGGAGAGGAAAGUGGAAUUCCUAGUGUAGCGGUGAAAUGCGUAGAGAUUAGGAAGAACACCGGUGGCGAAGGCGACUUUCUGGACGAAAACUGACGCUGAGGCGCGAAAGCGUGGGGAGCAAACAGGAUUAGAUACCCUGGUAGUCCACGCCGUAAACGAUGGAUACUAGGUGUAGGAGGUAUCGACCCCUCCUGUGCCGGAGUUAACGCAAUAAGUAUCCCGCCUGGGAAGUACGAUCGCAAGAUUAAAACUCAAA